This 253-nucleotide ribosomal RNA is filed under the name uncultured bacterium. RNAcentral's name for it is "partial 16S ribosomal RNA". It matches the Rfam family "Bacterial small subunit ribosomal RNA", at positions 524 to 776 of the family's 1533-position model. The record is from RNAcentral.
UACGGGGGGGGCAAGCGUUGUUCGGAAUUACUGGGCGUAAAGGGCUCGUAGUCGGCCAACUAAGUCCGACGUGAAAUCCCCAGGCUCAACCUGGGAACUGCGUCGGAUACUGGAUGGCUUGAAUUCGGGAGAGGGAUGCAGAAUUCCAGGUGUAGCGGUGAAAUGCGUAGAUAUCGGGAGGAACACCAGUGGCGAAGGCGGCUUCCUGGCCUGUUCUUGACGCUGAGGCGCGAAAGCUAGGGGAGCAAACGGG